GUUUGAUCCUGGCUCAGGACGAACGCUGGCGGCGUGCCUAACACAUGCAAGUCGAGCGGGGUGAAUCGAGUGGUUUCCACGAGAUUUACCCAGCGGCGGACGGGUGAGUAACACGUAGGCAACCUACCCACCACACGGGGAUAGCCCUGGGAAACCGGGGGUAAUACCCGAUACCUUCGCUGGUCGCAUGGCUAGUGAAGAAAGCGUUAAGCGGUGGUGGAUGGGCCUGCGGCCCAUCAGCUAGUUGGCGGGGUAACGGCCCACCAAGGCGACGACGGGUAGCCGGCCUGAGAGGGUGAACGGCCACACUGGGACUGGGACACGGCCCAGACUCCUACGGGAGGCAGCAGUGGGGAAUCUUGGGCAAUGGGGGAAACCCUGACCCAGCGACGCCGCGUGGGGGAAGAAGGCCUUCGGGUUGUAAACCCCUGUCACCGGGGACGAAGAGGACGGUACCCGGGGAGGAAGCCCCGGCUAACUACGUGCCAGCAGCCGCGGUAAUACGUAGGGGGCUAGCGUUGUCCGGAAUUACUGGGCGUAAAGGGCGUGUAGGCGGGUCUGCAAGUUGCGGGUAAAAAGCCAGGGCUCAACCCUGGACGUGCCUGCAAAACUGCGGAUCUUGAGGGCGGGAGAGGAGAGUGGAAUUCCCGGAGUAGCGGUGGAAUGCGUAGAUACCGGGAGGAACACCAGUGGCGAAGGCGGCUCUCUGGACCGACCCUGACGCUGAGGCGCGAAAGCUAGGGGAGCGAACGGGAUUAGAUACCCCGGUAGUCCUAGCCGUAAACGAUGGUCACUAGGUGUGGGCAGUUGUCAAGCUGUCCGUGCCGGAGCUAACGCAAUAAGUGACCCGCCUGGGGAGUACGGCCGCAAGGUUGAAACUCAAAGGAAUUGACGGGGGCCCGCACAAGCGGUGGAGCAUGUGGUUUAAUUCGAAGCAACGCGAAGAACCUUACCAGGCCUUGACAUGCAGGUGGUAGCGAACCGAAAGGGGAGCGACCCGAGGGAAACCGAGGGAGCCUGCACAGGUGGUGCAUGGUUGUCGUCAGCUCGUGUCGUGAGAUGUUGGGUUAAGUCCCGCAACGAGCGCAACCCCUACCUCUAGUUGCCAGCGGGUGAAGCCGGGCACUCUAGAGGAACUGCCGCCGACAAGGCGGAGGAAGGUGGGGAUGACGUCAAAUCAUCAUGCCCUUUAUGGCCUGGGCCACACACGUGCUACAAUGGCCGGUACAGCGGGGAGCGAAGGUGCGAGCCGGAGCGAAUCCCUAAAAACCGGUCUCAGUUCGGAUUGCAGGCUGCAACUCGCCUGCAUGAACGUCGAAGGUGGGGCCAGCGACUGGGGUGAAGUCGUAACAAGGUAGCCG
Molecule: ribosomal RNA, 1361 nt
Filed under: uncultured Thermosediminibacter sp.
Lineage: Bacteria; Bacillati; Bacillota; Clostridia; Thermosediminibacterales; Thermosediminibacteraceae
Description: bacterial SSU rRNA
Rfam family: Bacterial small subunit ribosomal RNA
Source: RNAcentral